This 467-nucleotide ribosomal RNA is filed under the name uncultured bacterium. Its description in RNAcentral is "partial 16S ribosomal RNA". It matches the Rfam family "Bacterial small subunit ribosomal RNA", at positions 28 to 507 of the family's 1533-position model. The record is from RNAcentral.
GACGAACGCUGGCGGCGUGCUUAACACAUGCAAGUCGAACGGAAAGGCCUCUUUCGGGGGGUACUCGAGUGGCGAACGGGUGAGUAACACGUGAGUAACCUGCCCUUGACUUUGGGAUAACUUCAGGAAACUGGGGCUAAUACCGGAUAGGAGCUCCUGCUGCAUGGUGGGGGUUGGAAAGUUUCGGCGGUUGGGGAUGGACUCGCGGCUUAUCAGCUUGUUGGUGGGGUAGUGGCUUACCAAGGCUUUGACGGGUAGCCGGCCUGAGAGGGCGACCGGCCACAUUGGGACUGAGAUACGGCCCAGACUCCUACGGGAGGCAGCAGUGGGGAAUAUUGCACAAUGGGUGGAAGCCUGAUGCAGCAACGCCGUGUGCGGGAUGACGGCCUUCGGGUUGUAAACCGCUUUCGCUCAUGACGAAGCUUUGUGUGACGGUAGUGAGUAAAGAAGCACCGGCUAACUACGUG